RNAcentral lists this unclassified non-coding RNA (240 nucleotides) under soil metagenome. RNAcentral's name for it is "partial contains 5.8S ribosomal RNA, internal transcribed spacer 2, and large subunit ribosomal RNA". The record is from RNAcentral.
AACAAGGCGUACCUGCGGACCUGCGGAGGGAUCAUUACAGAGUUGCAAAACUCCCUAAACCAUUGUGAACGUUACCUAAACCGUUGCUUCGGCGGGCGGCCCGGGUCCUUCCCGGCGCCCCUCGGCCCUCGCGGGCGCCCGCCGGAGGUAAACCAAACUAUUGCAUUGUAUGGCCUCUCUGAGUCUUCUGUACUGAAUAAGUCAAAACUUUCAACAAUGGAUCUCAGAUCGGAAGAGCAC